This 342-nucleotide ribosomal RNA is filed under the name uncultured Gammaproteobacteria bacterium. RNAcentral describes it as "bacterial SSU rRNA". It matches the Rfam family "Bacterial small subunit ribosomal RNA", at positions 9 to 363 of the family's 1533-position model. The record is from RNAcentral. Lineage: Bacteria; Pseudomonadati; Pseudomonadota; Gammaproteobacteria.
GAGUUUGAUCAUGGCUCAGGACUAACGCUGGCGGCGUGCCUAACACAUGCAAGUCGAACGAGGUAGCAAUACCUAGUGGCAGACGGGUGAGUAACGCGUAGGUAAUGUGCCCUCCUGCGGGGGAUACCGUUCCGAAAGGGACGUUAAUACCGCAUAACAUACCUCAGGGGCAUCUCUGGGGUAUCAAACUUCCAGGGGUAGGGGAGCAGCCUGCGUCUAUCAGCUUGUUGGUGAGGUAACGGCUCACCAAGGCGACGACGGAUAACUGGUCUGAGAGGAUGACCAGUCACACUGGGACUGAGACACGGCCCAGACUCCUACGGGAGGCAGCAGUGGGGAAUA